GCUGAUAAGGUUGGACAUUUCACAUUAAGCCAUAGUGGUUGAAUUUAUUACGAGGAUGAUUAUCCAGUUAUUGUACUUUAAUUCUUUACCUCGAAAUGUCAUUUUUUCAUGCAUAUAUAAAUGCUCGUAUACUUGUAUUCAUUAGAAAAUGUAUAUUUUUCUACCUGUACGUGCGCUCUUUGGUGAUCCAAAAUUAUCCAUUAUAUUAAAAGAGC
RNAcentral lists this long non-coding RNA (215 nucleotides) under Mytilus galloprovincialis (Mediterranean mussel). The record is from RNAcentral. Lineage: Eukaryota; Metazoa; Mollusca; Bivalvia; Mytilida; Mytilidae.